CUCCGGAAGGGCUGGACCGGCCCUGCGCAGUACCAGCAGGGAGCAGAGACAAGGCCGACACCAGGGUAUCGGGAGCAGUGAUAAAGCUCCAGUUGGAAGGCUCACAGAAAUCGGAGACGAUUGUCAGGGAAGAUUGCUUUCUCCACCCAGAUACCCCUAUACCACCUAUGCUUCUGGAGGUUUGAGUCCUGAGGCCACAAGAGAUAUAGUUCAUGUGUGGAGUUGGCUCCCCCGUCAUUCCCCAGAGUCAAACUGUUUGCAAGUGCUAUACAGCAAAGAGUGAUGAGCAGAGGAGCAGGACUUUAUUCUGGACAAAAGUGGCUGGGUGUUCAGUCCCCCAGCAAGAUAGAUGCCUCACGCACAUGCUGCCGUACCACAUGGUCCAACAAGGUGUGCACAUCUCUAGCUGCUUGGGCAGCGGCCUCAAGCACCUGCUCCAAGUGGUCCUCAUGCAGCCGGGCAUCCAUUUCAAGCAGUGCGAUCUGGCCUGAGGCUGGCAGCAGGGCCAGGGCUAGUUGGGGACCACCAGCUGCUUCCUCCACAUGGCUGAGGUCUGCCAGGGCUGUGCCUUCCACAAAACCAGCUGAACAUGCACACACAAAGUCCCGCAUGGGUAUCCCAGCAUCCAACACUGCCAGCGUGGCGGCAUUCACACAAGCUGCGUAGGUUCCACCAUCAGCCUGCAGUACCUGCAAGGACCCCCCCACGCUGUUAUCAGUCCAUUAAACUGCCAUCCCACCCUCCAGUUCCCUUCCCUCGGUGGGUUGAAAACUGCAGCCAGCUCACCUGCACAUAGAUGUCAAUCUGGGAUCGUGGGUGCAGCUGAGUAAGAAUGGCUGCCUCAAAAGUCUGGCGCAGCUGUAGGCCCAUCUCACAGGACUUACGGUCUCCAUGUGGCCUCCGCUUGCGCUCACCUGUGCUGAAGGUUGCUGAACUAUAUUGACAGUUCACCAGAGCCCGGUCAGGCAGGGCUCGAGACCUGGAACCCCGGAUCUAGAAGAGAAAGGAUGCAUAAGUCAAGCCUACUCUCCCAGCUCACACUCCCUAGUCCUUUCAACCUCCUUCUCAAGAGAGUGGCAGCAACCUUAUCUCCAAAACAUCCAAGGGAGAUCCAUUUGUCAGUCUAGGCCAUCAUCACCUCUGGCGUGCAUGCCUCACUUCAUUUCCUCCCAACUCCUCUAAGUGGUGGCCACAGUAUGUUUAAAAACAUCAAGCCGAUUCUGCCUCACCACACACUCACAUUCUACUUACCUACCAAAGGCUUCUGUUAUACGGGAAAUAAAAUCCCAAAUCCUUUCCCCAGUCUACAAAGCCCUAGUCCUCACCUCCCUGGAAACCGUUAUUUGGAAUUAUCUCCUCUCCCUCCACCGUCAUUCUUUCGGCUUUGCAGAAGUGCCAUGUUUGUUUCUACCCAUUGCCUUCAUCCUGGCUUCUUUCAUCUAGAAAACUGGGCUCCCACAUUAAUUUGCUAAGCAAUUAAAAAUUAUCUCUGCGUUGGGGAGGCACUGUUAUAGGGUAGAACGUAGCAAUAAAAUCAGAGAGUUUUAUUUAAAGUCGCUGCUCUCAGAGAGUUUAUGUUCCCGUGGAAAGACAAACGGGUAAGAUUAAGUAGAGCUGACGUUCGGGUGGUAGACACAAAGGCAACAGAGCGUGUUGUGGCCUGGAGCGGCAGCAUCCCAAACAUGACGCCGGAGGAGAACAGCGGGGAAGUGACCGAAUGGGCGAGAGCCUGGCACGAUGAGGAACCCGACAAGGGAGAGCAGGGCGCAGGAGAGAGACAGGACAUACCCAGAGAUGCACCUUAAGAACUUGGGCAUUUACUCAGCCGAUAUGCGGCUUCGAGCAUUCGUUGCGUAAACGGGAGGCGCGACCGCGACCCCGCCGAUCCCGCGCGGCCCACUCGCCUCGUGCGGCCCGUAGACCACUGCCAGCGCCUUGGUGUUGCCCUGCUCGAUGUAGGCCGAGCCGUCGGCCUGCGCGAACACGCCCAUGCGCGCCUGGAUCUUGCGCAGCUCCCCGGCACGACGACCGUCCACCCGGUAACCCUGGUCAGACAGGAGCUCCAGCCCCGCCAUGUCGCCGGCCCAGCUCUCGGUCUCGUGGAGAACACUGCACCCUGAGCCCCAGGCUUGGCAGACCCAGUUUCCGGCGGUCCGGCCCCCUUCCGGGCCCGGGGACUACGGACUCCUUCCGGGCCCGGUCUUCUUCCGGGCCUGGGGACUAGGACUCCCGGCUGUCCGGCCUCCUUCCGGGCCUAGGGACUACGACUUCCGGAAGUUUUGGCUUCCUUUCGGCCUAGGCAACGAAGGCUCCCGCGACCCUGCUUUCCCCUCUCCGACCGGGGGAGGGCGGAGCUCUCCGGUGCGCUCCGGUGCGCCCCGGCUCUGCCCUUGGCCGGCUGGCCUCUGGAGCCGACUUCCUGGUUCGCCCGUGGGCCGGGGCGGUGCUUUUGUGUGUCGGGUGUUUGCGGGGCCGCAGUGCAGGCGUUCAUUCCAGCUGGGACAUUUUUCCGUUCUCUUACUGUUUUAUUCAUUUUUUUUUUCCCCAGGGGUUGAACCUGGGGAGGCUCCACCUGAGCUAGAUUCCCAUUUCCCCACCCUAACCUCGUCGGGAUCCAGGCGUGCUAGCAAGUGCUGUCCCGUGAGCCGCACCCCAGCCCGAGGCAGGUCUUACAGAGUUGCUAAGGCUGGCCUGGAAUUUGUGAUCCUGCCCCAGCGUCGUGGGUAGCAGGACUAGGAUGUAGGCUCCACAGCGAGCUAGACACGCUUUUUGUCACACACAUGUGUGAUCAGAUUUUCUGUAAAGCAGUCUGAUUUUCCCUUUUCACUUGGUUCUUCUGUCGUCCACCUUAACACAAUAAACUGUCCUUUCUGUGGUUUCCUCCAUA
Molecule: long non-coding RNA, 2887 nt
Organism: Marmota monax (woodchuck)
Lineage: Eukaryota; Metazoa; Chordata; Mammalia; Rodentia; Sciuridae
Exons: 2
Source: RefSeq, a predicted model, not a curated record